RNAcentral lists this ribosomal RNA (819 nucleotides) under uncultured Bacillota bacterium. Its description in RNAcentral is "bacterial SSU rRNA". It matches the Rfam family "Bacterial small subunit ribosomal RNA", at positions 242 to 1056 of the family's 1533-position model. The record is from RNAcentral. Lineage: Bacteria; Bacillati; Bacillota.
UAGUUAGUUGGUGGGGUAACGGUUUUAGCCAUGUGUAGCUUGUGACUACCUAGGUCAGGUCGGACGGAUCGAUGAGCUAGCUAAUCGGCCAAUCUAAAAGCAUGGCCCCGCAUCGAUCGUGCUCACACAGCGCUAUAUAGAUUGCGCGAGCUAUAGGUAGCUCGAGAUGCAGCAACGCCGCGUGAGCGANNNNAGGCCUUUGGGUCGUAAAGCUCUGUNNCUUGGGGAAGAAACAAAUGACGGUACCAAAGGAGGAACCCCCGGCUAACUACGUGCCACCAGCCGCGGUAAUACGUAGGGGGCAAGCCUUAUCCGGAAUUAUUGGGCGUAAAGUGUACGUAGGUGGUCUCUUAAGCGCAGGGUUUAAGGCAAUGGCUUAACCAUUGUUCGCCUGUGAACUGGGAGACUUGAGUUUAGGAGAUGAGAGUGGAAUUCCUAGUGUAGCGGUGAAAUGCGUAGAUAUUAGGAGGAUCAUCAGUUGCGAUGGCGACUUUCUGGACUAAAACUGACACUGAGGUACGACACGUGGGGAGCAAACAGGAUUAGAUANNCCUGGUAGUCCACGCCGUAAACGAUGAGCACUAGGUGUCCCGGUCGCAAGGCUUCGGUGCCGUAGUUAACGCAUUAAGUAUCCGCCUGGGGAGUACGUUCGCAAGAAUGAAACUCAAAGGAAUUGACGGGGACCCGGAACAAGCAGCGGAGCAUGUGGUAUAAUUCGAAGCAACGCGAAGAACCUUACCAGGACUUGACAUCCUUCUGACAGGACCUUAACCGGGUCUCUCUUCGGGCAGAAGAGACAGGUGGUGCAUGGUUGUCGUC